This 490-nucleotide ribosomal RNA is filed under the name uncultured bacterium. Its description in RNAcentral is "bacterial SSU rRNA". It matches the Rfam family "Bacterial small subunit ribosomal RNA", at positions 588 to 1084 of the family's 1533-position model. The record is from RNAcentral.
UCAGUUGUGAAAGUUUGCGGCUCAACCGUAAAAUUGCAGUUGAUACUGGAUGUCUUGAGUGCAGUUGAGGCAGGCGGAAUUCGUGGUGUAGCGGUGAAAUGCUUAGAUAUCACGAAGAACUCCGAUUGCGAAGGCAGCCUGCUAAGCUGCAACUGACAUUGAGGCUCGAAAGUGUGGUAUCAAACAGGAUUAGAUACCCUGGUAGUCCACACGGUAAACGAUGAAUACUCGCUGUUUGCGAUAUACGGCAAGCGGCCAAGCGAAAGCGUUAAGUAUUCCACCUGGGGAGUACGCCGGCAACGGUGAAACUCAAAGGAAUUGACGGGGGCCCGCACAAGCGGAGGAACAUGUGGUUUAAUUCGAUGAUACGCGAGGAACCUUACCCGGGCUUAAAUUGCAGAUGAAUUACGGUGAAAGCCGUAAGCCGCAAGGCAUCUGUGAAGGUGCUGCAUGGUUGUCGUCAGCUCGUGCCGUGAGGUGUCGGCUUAAG